Molecule: unclassified non-coding RNA, 337 nt
Filed under: soil metagenome
Description: partial contains 5.8S ribosomal RNA, internal transcribed spacer 2, and large subunit ribosomal RNA
Rfam family: 5.8S ribosomal RNA (bases 1-120)
Source: RNAcentral
GAUGAAGAACGUAGCGAAAUGCGAUAAGUAGUGUGAAUUGCAGAAUUCAGUGAAUCAUCGAAUCUUUGAACGCACAUUGCGCCCCUUGGUAUUCCAUGGGGCAUGCCUGUUCGAGCGUCAUUUGUAACUUCAAGCUCUGCUUGGUGUUGGGUGUUUGUCUCGCCUCUGCGUGUAGACUCGCCUCAAAACAAUUGGCAGCCGGCGUAUUGAUUUCGGAGCGCAGUACAUCUCGCGCUUUGCACUCAUAACGACGACGUCCAAAAGUACAUUUUUACACUCUUGACCUCGGAUCAGGUAGGGAUACCCGCUGAACUUAAGCAUAUCAAUAAGCGGAGGA